CGUAGGACAUUAAUCGUUGAACAAACGAACCUUUGGUAGCGGCUUCACCACCGGGGUGUCCUGAUCCAACAUCGAGGUCGUAAGCCCCCCUGGCGAUAGGAACUCUUAAGGGGGAUGGCGCUGUUAUCCCUGGGGUAACUUGGUCCGAUUCUCAGUGCUACUGGGUCAAUAUUUAAGGUCACUUGGCUUGUAAGCCGAGUGGCAGGGGAUUAGCCUGUAUUUGUGGAGGUUUUGGUUUUCUCCGCAGUCGCCCCAACUUAAAGUUUGGACUAUGCUAAUAGGGGUAUGUCUUGGUUGGACUUAUACUCUUAGGUAGUGGUUAGCUUGAAGCUCCACAGGGUCUUUUCGUCUUGUGAUGGUAUUUCAGCUUUUGUACUGAAAGAUCAGUUUCAUUGAUUGGUCACAGGAGACAGUUGGGCCCUCAGUUAGCCAUUCAUACAGGUCUUUAUUUAGAAGACAAGUGAUUACGCUACCUUUGCACGGUUAUGAUACCGCGGCCGUUAAAU
RNAcentral lists this ribosomal RNA (506 nucleotides) under Pachydactylus barnardi. Its description in RNAcentral is "partial 16S ribosomal RNA". Lineage: Eukaryota; Metazoa; Chordata; Lepidosauria; Squamata; Gekkonidae. The record is from RNAcentral.